This 602-nucleotide ribosomal RNA is filed under the name uncultured eukaryote. Its description in RNAcentral is "bacterial SSU rRNA". It matches the Rfam family "Eukaryotic small subunit ribosomal RNA", at positions 648 to 1257 of the family's 1831-position model. The record is from RNAcentral.
AGGCAUCUCAGGUCUGCCUCACGGUGUGUACUUAUUGUGUCUGACAUCAUGUCAGAUUGGGCGUUGCACUUAAUUGUGUGGGUCUAGUUUGGCAGCUGAUACUUUGAGAAAAUUAGAGUGUUCCAAGCACGCGAUAGCGUUGAAUACUGCAGCAUGGGAUAUCGAGACAGGACUUCGGUCCUAUCUUGUUGGUUCUCGGGAUCGAAGUAAUGAUUAACAGAGGCGGUUGGGGCCAUUCGUAUUGGACAGUCAGAGGUGAAAUUCUUGGAUUUGCCCAAGACGAACUACUGCGAAAGCAUUUGGCAAGGACGCUUUCAUUAAUCAAGAACGAAAGUUAGGGGAUCGAAGACGAUCAGAUACCGUCCUAGUCUUAACCAUAAACUAUGCCGACUAGGGAUUGGAGGCCGUUAUAUAUACGACUCCUUCAGCACCUUAUGGGGAAACCAAAGUCUUUGGGUUCUGGGGGGAGUAUGGUCGCAAGGCUGAAACUUAAAGGAAUUGACGGAAGGGCACCACCAGGAGUGGAGCCUGCGGCUUAAUUUGACUCAACACGGGAAACUCACCAGGUCCAGACAUGGUAAGGAUUGACAGAUUGAAAGCUC